RNAcentral lists this ribosomal RNA (627 nucleotides) under Triticum aestivum (bread wheat). RNAcentral's name for it is "partial small subunit ribosomal RNA". Lineage: Eukaryota; Viridiplantae; Streptophyta; Magnoliopsida; Poales; Poaceae. The record is from RNAcentral.
AUGCCAAGCUCUAGGCCAUCACAUUCUAAUAAUACUUCCAAGAACUAUUCGGAAUCUCAAGAAAGUGAGGGAAGUUACAGAUUCCAUAUGAGGUCCCAGGGAGCAAGAGAUAUUAACCAAACCACCUGGCUAAGCGGUGGUGCAUCACAAGUUGACUAUGGCGUUCUUGGAAAUGGGAACCACACAACUAAUCUUGGUGCAGGUGCUGCUUAUGGUCAUGGUUAUCAUCAUGGUAAUGGCAUCGACAUAAAUGGUUAUCAUCAUCAUUAUGGUACUCUCAGUGCUAAUGAUUAUGGUCAUCAUUAUGGUAAUGGCAAUAAUAAAUCUUAUGGUUAUCCUCACGGUAAUUCUAAUGACAAUAAUUAUGGUAAUGGUAAUGGUGGUCGCAAUGGAGUUAUAACAAGUGGAAGCAUGGUAAGUGCACCAGCAGUACAAUAUGGAAUGCGUGGAGAUGCUUCUGCUGGUCAGACCGGUGCAGUGCAGCCUCAAAACCUUGACAGUGUUUUUCUCAACUGGGGCAACACUAGUUCUGAAACAGCCGGCACAUCAGGUGGAGAUGGUGUAGUGACAGACGUGAUGAUUCGUGGGCUAACUAUGGAGGAAUUAGAAAACCUUACAAAGCACUAG